RNAcentral lists this long non-coding RNA (515 nucleotides) under Musa acuminata (dwarf banana). Its description in RNAcentral is "long non-coding RNA (MACU_LNC004172)". The record is from RNAcentral. Lineage: Eukaryota; Viridiplantae; Streptophyta; Magnoliopsida; Zingiberales; Musaceae.
UCUCCUUCUCGUCGAGGAAGAGAUCCUCGGGGACGCGGAAGGCUCCGUGGGCGGCGACCAUGGCGGCGCCGGCCACGAGGGCGGAGAUGAUGAUGGAUCCGACGGAGGUGAGGAAGACGACGAGGACGGAGAAGAGGACGAGGCCGCCGAGGGUCUCGCGGUCGGAGAAGGUGCGGCCGAAGAGGACGAGGGGCGGAUCGGCAGGGCGGAAGAGGUAGAGGAGGCACCAGGCGGCGAGGAGGGCGAGGAGGACGAGGAGGGAGAAGGGGUUGGUGACGAGGGAGAGGGCGAGGAUGGCGGCCACCACGGCGGCGUAGUUGACGCGGAAGUAGGCGAGGUUCUUGCGGAGGCGGGAGGUGGCGUCGGCGAGGGUGUCCGGGCGGGAGAAGGCCGAGCGGUCGGCGAGUUCGGACCAGGGACGGCGCUCGGAGAGGAAGCGGCUGACGGAGUCGGAGAGGCGGGAGAGGAAGAGCCGGAAGGCCGGAGUGGAGACCGGGGCCGUGGAACCGGCGGAG